CCUACGGGAGGCAGCAGUGGGGAAUAUUGGGCAAUGGGCGCAAGCCUGACCCAGCAACGCCGCGUGAAGGAAGAAGGCUUUCGGGUUGUAAACUUCUUUUAAGGGGGAAGAGAAGAAGACGGUACCCCUUGAAUAAGCCACGGCUAACUACGUGCCAGCAGCCGCGGUAAUACGUAGGUGGCAAGCGUUGUCCGGAUUUACUGGGUGUAAAGGGCGUGCAGCCGGGGAGACAAGUCAGAUGUGAAAUCCACGGGCUCAACCCGUGAACUGCAUUUGAAACUGUUUCCCUUGAGUGUCGGAGAGGUAGUCGGAAUGCCUUGUGUAGCGGUGAAAUGCGUAGAUAUAAGGAAGAACACCAGUGGCGAAGGCGGAUUACUGGACGAUAACUGACGGUGAGGCGCGAAAGCGUGGGGAGCAAACAGGAUUAGAUACCCCUGUAGUC
RNAcentral lists this ribosomal RNA (442 nucleotides) under uncultured bacterium. RNAcentral's name for it is "partial 16S ribosomal RNA". It matches the Rfam family "Bacterial small subunit ribosomal RNA", at positions 338 to 795 of the family's 1533-position model. The record is from RNAcentral.